UGUGGCUCAGUGGUAGAGCACUUGCCUAGCAUGUGUGAGACACUGGGUUUGAUCCCCAGCA
RNAcentral lists this transfer RNA (61 nucleotides) under Ictidomys tridecemlineatus (thirteen-lined ground squirrel). RNAcentral describes it as "Spermophilus tridecemlineatus (thirteen-lined ground squirrel) tRNA". It matches the Rfam family "tRNA", at positions 6 to 65 of the family's 71-position model. Rfam says of the family: Transfer RNA (tRNA) molecules are approximately 80 nucleotides in length. Their secondary structure includes four short double-helical elements and three loops (D, anti-codon, and T loops). The record is from Rfam by way of RNAcentral. Lineage: Eukaryota; Metazoa; Chordata; Mammalia; Rodentia; Sciuridae.